RNAcentral lists this long non-coding RNA (306 nucleotides) under Ananas comosus (pineapple). Its description in RNAcentral is "long non-coding RNA (ACOM_LNC043038)". Lineage: Eukaryota; Viridiplantae; Streptophyta; Magnoliopsida; Poales; Bromeliaceae. The record is from RNAcentral.
AUGAGCCAAUACUCAAAUCUCAUGAACCAAUACCCAAAUCUCAUGAACCUUUUUUUUUACUCUAGCACACAUACCUAGAGUAAAAAAUUUAAACAUCGACCACCCUAAUACAUAUACUUAGGGCUAUGUCAAUCGCCUUGGCACAUAUAACUAAGGCGAAAUAUCUCCAAAUCGGCAGAGUUCUAAACCAUAUACUUAGAAUUCAGUCAAAUGAUAUCAACUUCAUUCGGACUCUAAUACAUAUACUUAGAGUUCAUCCGGCUAACCCUAACACAUAUACUUAGGGUCUAGUCAACCUUUUGCUCU